UAAUACGGAGGGUGCGAGCGUUGUCCGGAAUCACUGGGCGUAAAGGGCGCGUAGGCGGCCUGAUAAGUAGGGGGUGAAAUCCUGCGGCUUAACCGCAGGGCUGCCUUCUAAACUGUCAGGCUGGAGCACAGUAGAGGCAGGUGGAAUUCCCGGUGUAGCGGUGGAAUGCGUAGAGAUCGGGAAGAACAUCAGUGGCGAAGGCGGCCUGCUGGGCUGUUGCUGACGCUGAGGCGCGACAGCGUGGGGAGCAAACAGGAUUAGAUACCCUGGUAGUCCACGCCGUAAACGAUGGGCACUAGGCGUCGGGGGGAGCGACCCUCCCGGUGCCGUCGCUAACGCAGUAAGUGCCCCGCCUGGGGAGUACGGCCGCAAGGCU
RNAcentral lists this ribosomal RNA (376 nucleotides) under uncultured bacterium. Its description in RNAcentral is "bacterial SSU rRNA". It matches the Rfam family "Bacterial small subunit ribosomal RNA", at positions 521 to 895 of the family's 1533-position model. The record is from RNAcentral.